Long non-coding RNA from Tupaia belangeri chinensis (Chinese tree shrew), 265 nucleotides. RefSeq lists it as uncharacterized. The record is from RefSeq and is a predicted model, not a curated record. NCBI's taxonomy places the organism in Eukaryota, Metazoa, Chordata, Mammalia, Scandentia, Tupaiidae. The transcript has 3 exons.
ACCUGGGGUGCCUUGAGGGAGCUCCUGCUGCAGGUGGGCCUCUCCCUCCGUUCCACAGGACAUUCACCUCAAGCAGCAAUACCACUGGGGCCGGUCCGACAUCAAUUUCCUUUCCAGCAUAAAGCAAAGCACCAUCUCCUCCCUCACUGUGGACAUAGCCAAUAAGGAAAUGUCGUGCAUAGAUAUCAAGCCACUGUCGGCGCUGAUUUCCGUGGGCUGUGACCAACGUAAGAGGCUUGUUGUCCAGAAGUGAGUGUGGGCCGAC